RNAcentral lists this ribosomal RNA (253 nucleotides) under uncultured bacterium. Its description in RNAcentral is "partial 16S ribosomal RNA". It matches the Rfam family "Bacterial small subunit ribosomal RNA", at positions 524 to 776 of the family's 1533-position model. The record is from RNAcentral.
UACGUAGGCAGCAAACGUUGUUCGGAGUUACUGGGCGUAAAGGGCGCGUAGGCGGCCGCCUAAGUCAGACGUGAAAUCCCUCGGCUCAACCGGGGAACUGCGUCUGAUACUGGGUGGCUUGAAUCCGGGAGAGGGAUGCGGAAUUCCAGGUGUAGCGGUGAAAUGCGUAGAUAUCUGGAGGAACACCGGUGGCGAAGGCGGCAUCCUGGACCGGCAUUGACGCUGAGGCGCGAAAGCCAGGGGAGCAAACGGG